AAAGACGGUCUUGCUGUCACUUAUAGAUGGAUCCGCGCUGCAUUAGCUAAUUGGUAAGGUAACGGCUUACCAAGGCAACGAUGCAUAGCCGACCUGAGAGGGUGAUCGGCCACACUGGAACUGAGACACGGUCCAGACUCCUACGGGAGGCAGCAGUAGGGAAUCUUCCGCAAUGGGCGAAAGCCUGACGGAGCAACGCCGCGUGAGUGAUGAAGGUCUUCGGAUCGUAAAACUCUGUUAUUAGGGAAGAACAUAUGUGUAAGUAACUGUGCACAUCUUGACGGUACCUAAUCAGAAAGCCACGGCUAACUACGUGCCAGCAGCCGCGGUAAUACGUAGGUGGCAAGCGUUAUCCGGAAUUAUUGGGCGUAAAGCGCGCGUAGGCGGUUUUUUAAGUCUGAUGUGAAAGCCCACGGCUCAACCGUGGAGGGUCAUUGGAAACUGGAAAACUUGAGUGCAGAAGAGGAAAGUGGAAUUCCAUGUGUAGCGGUGAAAUGCGCAGAGAUAUGGAGGAACACCAGUGGCGAAGGCGACUUUCUGGUCUGUAACUGACGCUGAUGUGCGAAAGCGUGGGGAUCAAACAGGAUUAGAUACCCUGGUAGUCCACGCCGUAAACGAUGAGUGCUAAGUGUUAGGGGGUUUCCGCCCCUUAGUGCUGCAGCUAACGCAUUAAGCACUCCGCCUGGGGAGUACGACCGCAAGGUUGAAACUCAAAGGAAUUGACGGGGACCCGCACAAGCGGUGGAGCAUGUGGUUUAAUUCGAAGCAACGCGAAGAACCUUACCAAAUCUUGACAUCCUUUGACAACUCUAGAGAUAGAGCCUUCCCCUUCGGGGGACAAAGUGACAGGUGGUGCAUGGUUGUCGUCAGCUCGUGUCGUGAGAUGUUGGGUUAAGUCCCGCAACGAGCGCAACCCUUAAGCUUAGUUGCCAUCAUUAAGUUGGGCACUCUAAGUUGACUGCCGGUGACAAACCGGAGGAAGGUGGGGAUGACGUCAAAUCAUCAUGCCCCUUAUGAUUUGGGCUACACACGUGCUACAAUGGACAAUACAAAGGGCAGCGAAACCGCGAGGUCAAGCAAAUCCCAUAAAGUUGUUCUCAGUUCGGAUUGUAGUCUGCAACUCGACUACAUGAAGCUGGAAUCGCUAGUAAUCGUAGAUCAGCAUGCUACGGUGAAUACGUUCCCGGGUCUUGUACACACCGCCCGUCACACCACGAGAGUUUGUAACACCCGAAGCCGGUGGAGUAACCUUUUAGGAGCUAGCCGUCGAAGGUGGGACAAAUGAUUGGGGUGAAGUCGUAACAAGGUAGCCGUAUCGGAAGGUGCGGCUGGAUCACCU
This 1339-nucleotide ribosomal RNA is filed under the name Staphylococcus aureus M0492. RNAcentral's name for it is "bacterial SSU rRNA". It matches the Rfam family "Bacterial small subunit ribosomal RNA", at positions 202 to 1528 of the family's 1533-position model. The record is from RNAcentral. Lineage: Bacteria; Bacillati; Bacillota; Bacilli; Caryophanales; Staphylococcaceae.